This 397-nucleotide ribosomal RNA is filed under the name Chlorarachniophyceae sp. RNAcentral's name for it is "partial small subunit ribosomal RNA". It matches the Rfam family "Eukaryotic small subunit ribosomal RNA", at positions 582 to 975 of the family's 1831-position model. Lineage: Eukaryota; Cercozoa; Chlorarachniophyceae. The record is from RNAcentral.
AUUCCAGCUCCAAUAGCGUAUAUUAAAGUUGUUGCAGUUAAAAAGCUCGUAGUUGGAUUUCAGUCUUAGUUCGUCUGGCCCGCUCCCUUGAGGAGCCGAGUGCCGGUUGCGAGCUGGACUUCCUUCUAGCAUGGAACCUCUACCGUUAUGCGGCCGGGGGGGACAUCUGGAUCAUUUACUUUGAAGAAAUUAGAGUGUUCAAAGCAAGCUUACGCUGUGAAUAUAUUAGCAUGGAAUAAUAACAUAGGACUCGGGUUCUACUUUGUUGGUUUCUAGGACUCAAGUAAUGAUUGAUAGGGACAGUUGGGGGUGCUGCUAUUAUAUGGCCAGAGGUGAAAUUCACGGAUUCAUAUAAGAGCAACUUAUGCGAAAGCAUUCACCAAGGAUGUCUUCAUCG